This 235-nucleotide unclassified non-coding RNA is filed under the name Hevea brasiliensis (rubber tree). The stretch from base 3 to 85 matches the Rfam family "Small nucleolar RNA U31b". Lineage: Eukaryota; Viridiplantae; Streptophyta; Magnoliopsida; Malpighiales; Euphorbiaceae. The record is from RNAcentral.
AGGGAUAUGAUGAUGCUUUUUGACACCCAGUCUUACUUCCAUAUCUUUACUGAAUGUGGUGAUAAAGAUACCUUUUAGCUGAUCCCUAUUAGUUGAAAUGAGAUUUUUUUUAAAAAAAUUUGUUUUGAACUAGUGCAUUUAUUGUCUUAUUUGUUCUGCGGUGGAUAUCAAGAAUGUGUUCGACACCCAGUCUUAUCUCUUUGUGGAAGGUGGUGAGAUCUUUUUUAUCUGAUGC